GCGGCGGACGGGUGAGUAACACGUGGGUAACCUGCCUGUAAGACUGGGAUAACUCCGGGAAACCGGGGCUAAUACCGGAUGCUUGAUUGAACCGCAUGGUUCAAUCAUAAAAGGUGGCUUUUAGCUACCACUUGCAGAUGGACCCGCGGCGCAUUAGCUAGUUGGUGAGGUAACGGCUCACCAAGGCGACGAUGCGUAGCCGACCUGAGAGGGUGAUCGGCCACACUGGGACUGAGACACGGCCCAGACACCUACGGGAGGCAGCAGUAGGGAAUCUUCCGCAAUGGACGAAAGUCUGACGGAGCAACGCCGCGUGAGUGAUGAAGGUUUUCGGAUCGUAAAACUCUGUUGUUAGGGAAGAACAAGUACCGUUCGAAUAGGGCGGUACCUUGACGGUACCUAACCAGAAAGCCACGGCUAACUACGUGCCAGCAGCCGCGGUAAUACGUAGGUGGCAAGCGUUGUCCGGAAUUAUUGGGCGUAAAGCGCGCGCAGGCGGUUUCUUAAGUCUGAUGUGAAAGCCCCCGGCUCAACCGGGGAGGGUCAUUGGAAACUGGGGAA
This 561-nucleotide ribosomal RNA is filed under the name uncultured Bacilli bacterium. Its description in RNAcentral is "bacterial SSU rRNA". It matches the Rfam family "Bacterial small subunit ribosomal RNA", at positions 95 to 640 of the family's 1533-position model. The record is from RNAcentral. Lineage: Bacteria; Bacillati; Bacillota; Bacilli.